UAAAGUUAUUAAGGGCGUACGGGGAAUGCCUAGGCACAUGGAGCCGAUGAAGGACGUGGUAAGCUGCGAUAAGCCUCGGGAAGGAGCAAACAUCCUUAGAUCCGGGGAUUUCCGAAUGGGGCAACCCAAAUCGAGUCAUGUCGAUUAACUCCUGUCUGAAUAUAUAGGACAGGGUGAGACAACGAGGUGAACUGACACAUCUAAGUAACCUCAGGAAGAGAAACCAAAAGGGAUUUCCUCAGUAGCGGCGAGCGAACGGGAAUGAGCCUAAACCGCCAACGUGCCAAGCUUACAGGCGUUGCGCUGGCGGGGUUGAGGGAUCGAUUCAGAGUCUGCUGUAACAGGCUCGGCAAGUCAAAAAAUCUGAUAUUAAUUGAAUGGUCUGGAAAGUCCAACCGUAGAAGGUGAUAGUCCUGUAAAUGAAAAUUGACGAUCUUGCUGGAAUCGACACCCGAGUAACACGGGACACGAGAAAUCUUGUGUGAAUCUGCCGGGACCAUCCGGUAAGGCUAAAUACUCCCAUGUGACCGAUAGUGAACUAGUACCGUGAGGGAAAGGUGAAAAGUACUCCUAACGGAGAGUGAAAUAGAACCUGAAACCGUAUGCCUACAAGCAGUCAGAGCUCCAGUUAUCUUCGGAUAGCGGGGUGAUGGCGUGCCUUUUGCAUAAUGAGCCAGUGAGUUACUCGUAUAUUGCAAGGUUAAGACUAUAAGGUCGGAGCCGUAGCGAAAGCAAGUCUGAAUAGGGCGUUGAGUAAUAUGCGGUAGACCCGAAACCGAGUGAUCUAGCCAUGGCCAGGAUGAAGUCCCGGUAACACGGGAUGGAGGUCCGAACCCACCAGCGUUGAAAAGCUGGGGGAUGAGCUGUGGUUAGGGGUGAAAGGCCAAUCAAACUCGGAGAUAUCUGGUUCUCGCCGAAAUGUCUUUAGGGGCAGCGUCAUGGUAAUGUACCGGGGGUAGAGCACUGGAUGGGCUAGGGAGCCUACAAGCUUACCGACCCCAAUCAAACUCCGAAUACCGGUAUUAUAAUGCAUGGCAGUGAGCUCAUGGGGGAUAAGCUUCAUGAACAAAAGGGAAAGAACCCAGACCAUCAGCUAAGGUCCCAAAGUCGAUGCUAAGUGAUAAAGGAUGUCAAAUCGCCCAGACAGCUAGGAGGUUGGCUUAGAAGCAGCCAUCCUUUAAAGAAAGCGUAACAGCUCACUAGUCGAGGGGUUUUGCGCCGAUAAUUUCCGGGACUAAGCAUCGCACCGAAGCUAUGGACUCUGACAUUUGUAUGUCAGAGUGGUAGGCGAGCGUUCCAUCGACCGUCGAAGGUUGACCCGUGAGGGCAGCUGGAGGAAAUGGAAAUGAGUAUGCUGGCAUGAGUAGCGAUAAAGCCUGUGAAAUGCAGGCUCGCCGCAAGCCCAAGGUUUCCUGAGUAAAGUUAAUCUGCUCAGGGUUAGUCGGACCCUAAGCCGAGGCCGAAAGGCGUAGGCGAUGGAAAACAGGUUUAAUAUUCCUGUACCAGUGCAACAUUGUUUGAACUAUGGGGGGACGCAGAAGUGAAAGGUCAGCCCGGUUUUGAUUGUCCGGGUUUAAGUGCGUAGGGAGUCCUGGUAGGCAAAUCCGCCGGGAUGCUAAUCCUGAGACACGAAUAGGAGAGCCUAGCUCAUAAACUGACCCUAAUCAUACUGCCAAGAAAAUCCUCUAUGUUAGAUGCUGCGCUGACCGUACCGUAAACGGACACACGUGGGCGAGGAGAGAAUCCUCAGGCGCUUGUGAGAAUCCAGGUUAAGGAACUCGGCAAAUUAGCCCCGUAACUUCGGGAGAAGGGGUGCCCCCAUUAGGUGAUGGACUUCGCGUCCGGAGCUGAAAGGGGUCGCAGUGACCAGGCUCAAUCGACUGUUUACUAAAAACACAGGUCUCUGCUAAGUCGCAAGACGACAUAUAGGGACUGACACCUGCCCGGUGCUGGAAGGUUAAAUGGAGGGGUUAGCUUCGGCGAAGCUCUGAAAUGAAGCCCCAGUAAACGGCGGCCGUAACUAUAACGGUCCUAAGGUAGCGAAAUUCCUUGUCGGGUAAGUUCCGACCUGCACGAAUGGUGUAAC
RNAcentral lists this ribosomal RNA (2086 nucleotides) under marine metagenome. Its description in RNAcentral is "bacterial LSU rRNA". It matches the Rfam family "Bacterial large subunit ribosomal RNA", at positions 1 to 2005 of the family's 2925-position model. The record is from RNAcentral.